Molecule: ribosomal RNA, 537 nt
Filed under: uncultured bacterium
Lineage: Bacteria
Description: bacterial SSU rRNA
Rfam family: Bacterial small subunit ribosomal RNA
Source: RNAcentral
AKAGUUUGAUCCUGGCUCAGAACGAACGCUGGCGGCGUGCUUAACACAUGCAAGUCGAACGGGAUCCAGAGCUUGCUCUGGUGAGAGUGGCGCACGGGUGAGUAACGCGUGGAUAACCUGCCCUGGUAUCCGGAAUAACAUCUCGAAAGGGGUGCUAAUACCGGAUAAGCCUACGGAGCCCUCGGUCUCUGCAGGAAAAGGUGGCCUAUAUUUAUAAGCUACCGUAUCAGGAUGGGUCCGCGUACCAUUAGCUAGUUGGUGGGGUAAUGGCCCACCAAGGCGACGAUGGUUAGCUGGUCUGAGAGGAUGAUCAGCCACACUGGAACUGAGACACGGUCCAGACUCCUACGGGAGGCAGCAGUGGGGAAUUUUGCGCAAUGGGGGAAACCCUGACGCAGCAACGCCGCGUGAGUGAUGAAGGCUUUCGGGUCGUAAAGCUCUGUCAGAGGGGAAGAAAUGAGCCUGGCUAAUAUCCAGGUUUCCUGACGGUACCCUCAAAGGAAGCACCGGCUAACUCCGUGCCAGCAGCCGCGGUAA